Molecule: small nuclear RNA, 104 nt
Organism: Hemicordylus capensis (graceful crag lizard)
Lineage: Eukaryota; Metazoa; Chordata; Lepidosauria; Squamata; Cordylidae
Source: RefSeq, a predicted model, not a curated record
GUGCUCACUUUGGCACAUAUACUAAAAUUGGAAUGAUACAGAGAAGGUUAGCGUGGCCCCUGCAUAAUGAUGACACACAAAUUCUUGAAGCGUUCCAUGUUUUU